RNAcentral lists this non-coding RNA (27 nucleotides) under Bombyx mori (domestic silkworm). Lineage: Eukaryota; Metazoa; Arthropoda; Insecta; Lepidoptera; Bombycidae. The record is from RNAcentral.
GCAGAAUGGAUCUCGAUUGUCGCCAGA